Pyrus x bretschneideri (Chinese white pear) is the source of this 1952-nucleotide RNA transcript. It is a transcript of the gene named heat stress transcription factor A-5, with no coding region annotated. The transcript has 3 exons. The record is from RefSeq and is a predicted model, not a curated record. Lineage: Eukaryota; Viridiplantae; Streptophyta; Magnoliopsida; Rosales; Rosaceae.
UCGAACGUUCCAAUCGGAUCCCAAAAUCGAUUCCAAUCCAGUCCGCCCAAACCCUGACCCGACUCUCCAUCAUGGAAGGAGGCUCGACUGCCGGUGGAGGCGGUGGCCCGGCGCCGUUUCUGCUGAAGACGUACAACAUGGUGGACGAUUCCGCGACGGACGAGAUCGUGUCGUGGAGCUCGAACAAGAAGAGCUUCGUCGUCUGGAACCCGCCCGAGUUCGCCCGGGUUCUGCUCCCCACCUAUUUCAAGCACAACAACUUCUCCAGCUUCAUUCGUCAACUCAAUACAUACGGAUUUCGAAAGAGUGAUCCUGAGAGAUGGGAAUUUGCUAAUGAAGACUUCAUACAAGAUCAGAAGCAUCUUCUUAAGCAUAUCCACCGCAGAAAACCCAUUCACAGCCACAGCAAUCCUCAAGGUUCUAUGGUUGAUCCUGAAAGAGCAGCUCUUGAUGACGAGAUAGAGAAGCUUUCAAAUGAUAAAGCUGCACUUGAGGCAAGUAUUUCAACAUUCAAACAGCAGCGAUCUGCUGCAAAGCUUCAGUUGGAAAACUUAGCACAGCGGGUGAGUGGUAUGGAACAACGGCAGAAGAAUUUGCUGACAUUCUUAGAUGAGGCUGUUCACAACCCUAAUUUUAUUGAACACCUCUCUAGAAAAUUUGAAUCUAUGGAUUUCUCAGCAUAUAAUAAGAAAAGGCGAUUGCCUGACAUUGAAAACCUACAGCCAGUCGUGGAGAAUGGUUUUGUGGAUAACCAAAGUAGUUCCAUAUCUGAGUUUGGAAAUGUUUUCCACCAAGACUUCUCAAGUAAACUUAGACUAGAAUUAUCACCAGCUGUUUCAGACAUGAACUUGGUUUCGCUUAGCACGCAGAGUUCCAAUGAAGAUGGGGGUAGCUCAACUAGGAAAAUAUCUGAAGAACUUAAAGGAGCACAGAUGAGAACAGAAGGGCUUUUAUUUGCACCUGAAACCUUAGAACUUUCAGAUACCGGAACAUCUUUUGCAUUCAAAAUGGAUUCGUUGUUAUCGCGGAAGGCACCAACUGUUGGAAGCCCUAUACGUCAUUCCUUGCAGCCAGGUUUGCCUUCUAAUGAAGAAGGUGAUGGUAAUAUAUCCUGCCAGUUAAAUCUCACUCUUGCAUCUACUCCAUCGCAAGUCAAUAAUAGUCCUUACUCAGCUGCAGUACCCCAAGUAGGUCAGGAUAUCAACAAAUCUGCAGCAUCAGAGCUAAAUGACAAGGGCAAAGAACCAGAUUUAAGAGCCUUUACAAACAAAAAUCUAGCUGAUGAUGACAAACCUAAAACUUCCUCCCAAGAAGCCACACAUAACAAUCAAGCGCCUGCUCUGGUUCCUGUUAGAGUAAACGAUGUUUUCUGGGAACAGUUCCUAACUGAAAGACCUGGCUGUUCAGAGAAUGAAGAAGCGAGUUCUAAUUAUAGGGGAAAUCCAUAUGAUGAGCAAGAUGAUGGAAGGUUCGGCCAUGGAAUGUCCAGAACAGUCAAGGAUGCGGAAACACUCACUCUUUAAGUACUGCAGUCGUGGUGAAGCCCUGAUCCAGGUUCACGACAAAGCUCUCUCCCAUCUCCCUUGAUUUGUCUCUGUUCUACAUUCCAACAAUCAGAAUACAUCGAUUGUUCAAGCAGUUAUGUUGACAACUAGUUUACAUUCUCGUAAACACCAUGCGCUUGGCCCCUUAUUCUGUCAUCGCCCGCUCUUUAGAUUUAAUUUGGUUUCCGGAUGUGUAGAGAUGUAUUGAGAUUGUGUGAAAUCUAAUCUGCUUUUUUGGGUAUGCUCAUUUAGUACCUUUUUUUCCGCAUUGCUCAAGUUUUCCUCAAUUUGGUUCAAUAUUUGGUGUGUUUUCAUAAAUGGUCAAUAUACAAUACUGUAGCAACUAUAUUUAUGUUAAUAGCCGGCUUCGAAUCGUCGUAAUAUGAUAGUUAUGCAGAUUUCUUGUUA